This 72-nucleotide transfer RNA is filed under the name Faecalicoccus sp. RNAcentral's name for it is "tRNA-Asn". It matches the Rfam family "tRNA". Rfam says of the family: Transfer RNA (tRNA) molecules are approximately 80 nucleotides in length. Lineage: Bacteria; Bacillati; Bacillota; Erysipelotrichia; Erysipelotrichales; Erysipelotrichaceae. The record is from RNAcentral.
GGAGCAUAGCUUUAGUGGAAGAGCUGUCGGCUGUUAACCGAAGGGUCGCAGGUUCGAAUCCAGCUGUUCCCG